Molecule: ribosomal RNA, 466 nt
Filed under: uncultured bacterium
Lineage: Bacteria
Description: partial 16S ribosomal RNA
Rfam family: Bacterial small subunit ribosomal RNA
Source: RNAcentral
GAUGAACGCUGGCGGCGUGCUUAACACAUGCAAGUCGAACGGAAAGGCCCCUGCUUGCAGGGGUACUCGAGUGGCGAACGGGUGAGUAACACGUGGGUGAUCUGCCCUGCACUUCGGGAUAAGCCUGGGAAACUGGGUCUAAUACCGGAUAGGACGAUGGUUUGGAUGCCAUUGUGGAAAGUUUUUCGGUGUGGGAUGAGCUCGCGGCCUAUCAGCUUGUUGGUGGGGUAAUGGCCUACCAAGGCGUCGACGGGUAGCCGGCCUGAGAGGGUGUACGGCCACAUUGGGACUGAGAUACGGCCCAGACUCCUACGGGAGGCAGCAGUGGGGAAUAUUGCACAAUGGGCGCAAGCCUGAUGCAGCGACGCCGCGUGGGGGAUGACGGCCUUCGGGUUGUAAACUCCUUUCGCUAGGGACGAAGCGUUUUGUGACGGUACCUGGAGAAGAAGCACCGGCUAACUACGUG